Molecule: ribosomal RNA, 492 nt
Filed under: uncultured bacterium
Lineage: Bacteria
Description: partial 16S ribosomal RNA
Rfam family: Bacterial small subunit ribosomal RNA
Source: RNAcentral
AGUGAACGCUGGCGGUAGGCCUAACACAUGCAAGUCGAGCGGCAGCACAGUAAGAGCUUGCUCUUACGGGUGGCGAGUGGCGGACGGGUGAGGAAUACAUCGGAAUCUACUUUUUCGUGGGGGAUAACGUAGGGAAACUUACGCUAAUACCGCAUACGACCUACGGGUGAAAGCAGGGGAUCUUCGGACCUUGCGCGAUUGAAUGAGCCGAUGUCGGAUUAGCUAGUUGGCGGGGUAAAGGCCCACCAAGGCGACGAUCCGUAGCUGGUCUGAGGGGAUGAUCAGCCACACUGGAACUGAGACACGGUCCAGACUCCUACGGGAGGCAGCAGUGGGGAAUAUUGGACAAUGGGCGCAAGCCUGAUCCAGCCAUACCGCGUGGGUGAAGAAGGCCUUCGGGUUGUAAAGCCCUUUUGUUGGGAAAGAAAAGCAGCAGGUUAAUACCCCGCUGUUCUGACGGUACCCAAAGAAUAAGCACCGGCUAACUUCGUG